AAAGUCGUAACAAGGUUUCCGUAGGUGAACCUGCGGAAGGAUCAUUAACACGUAUCCAACGUUAAACAACCCUGUGAACCUUCAUUCCUGCUCUCCUCGAGCCCUAACAAAAGCAAUCCUUGGUAAAUCACGCAAACAGUUUGAUUCAAGGACCUCUCUUGCUAGCCCUCGUGGAUUUGAUGCGGUCGUCGCAACUUAGGCUUGGCUUCUGCAAGGCAGUUAGUGGGUGAAAGUGCCACUGAUUGCUUAAGCGGAUAACCGACACUUUGCGUUAAGCAAAAUGCGGAUCAUCGAGUGCCCACACGGCCGAUGAACGAGUCUCUGGGCGCAAGCCCCCAAAUUAACUACCUCUAAACCUUAGCGGCCGCCUCGUGCUGUCGCUGUCGUGAAAGCUGAACAACUGUUAACAAUGGAUAUCUUGGUUCUC
This 427-nucleotide unclassified non-coding RNA is filed under the name Cercozoa sp. RNAcentral's name for it is "partial contains small subunit ribosomal RNA, internal transcribed spacer 1, and 5.8S ribosomal RNA". The stretch from base 1 to 47 matches the Rfam family "Eukaryotic small subunit ribosomal RNA", at positions 1785 to 1831 of the family's 1831-position model. The record is from RNAcentral. Lineage: Eukaryota; Cercozoa.